Molecule: long non-coding RNA, 266 nt
Filed under: Homo sapiens (human)
Lineage: Eukaryota; Metazoa; Chordata; Mammalia; Primates; Hominidae
Description: non-protein coding lnc-CADM1-8:1
Source: RNAcentral
UCUGUAAGGUCCAGCUUUGGAUGUUGAGCCUGCCCUGGCACUAGUGUGACUUUAUCCCUUGGGGAGUGAGUUUAUUUACUUAAUUAUUAUUUAUUUAUGUAUUUAUUUAUGUUACUAGUUGUCAAAUGGUCCUUUAUCGAAAUAUUUUCCUUUGUACUUUUUACCUAGCUGGGCACUCCUUUUUUUUUCUCCCGACAACCGCCCUUCAGCCUUCAACCUACUGGACCUCUUUGUUGCCCACCACAGUGAUCACUUCAUUCUUUAAG